This is a long non-coding RNA of Nycticebus coucang (slow loris), 636 nucleotides long. RefSeq lists it as uncharacterized. Lineage: Eukaryota; Metazoa; Chordata; Mammalia; Primates; Lorisidae. The record is from RefSeq and is a predicted model, not a curated record. The transcript has 3 exons.
CCCUUGGAGCUUAAACUGAAUGUUACAUAGAGGGAGUUAUUCUUACGCUGUUCAGGGUCACUCUCUCCUUAGUCCAUGCAUACUUAAUGUUCUUGCUUAACUGGACUGUGGACUGUAUGCAACCUUGGCAAGGAAAAUUCACUUUCAGUUUUGUAACCACUGGGAGUCUUAGCUCCAACUCUUCAUAAAUGCAUCCAGUGGAUAAGAAAUGCUUGUUGAAGAAAGAGAGGGAGGGAAGAAGACCUGACAAGGUGCCAACGCUAAGGAGAAAUUUUGGCAUUUCAAGCUGUGGAAUGUGAUAAAAGGAAAGGAGCCAUAAGCAAGGCCAAGAGGAAGGGGACAAACAAGAGCGAAGUGUCCCAGGAGCCAAGCUUGGAAGGACUUUCAAAGGCAGGGCAGUUGAAGGCCAUGGGCAGUAUCUUAUGCCACCUUAGGAAGUUCUCAGGGAAUUUGGGACCUCCUUUCUGGGGUGACUGGGCCCUGAGCUCCAACGUACGAGGCUUCGUCUCUGUCCAGCUGGCAUACCCAGGGUGGCAAGGACAUGCCGAAGCUCAGCGCCCAUGACCGUGCCAUUGCUCUCCUUGUCGAAGACACGCAGCCCCUCCACAAAGUCCUCGUAGGUGCCCUGCUCCUUGU